RNAcentral lists this signal recognition particle RNA (148 nucleotides) under Homo sapiens (human). RNAcentral describes it as "Metazoan signal recognition particle RNA". It matches the Rfam family "Metazoan signal recognition particle RNA". From Rfam's summary of the family: The signal recognition particle (SRP) is a universally conserved ribonucleoprotein. The record is from Rfam by way of RNAcentral. Lineage: Eukaryota; Metazoa; Chordata; Mammalia; Primates; Hominidae.
GCCAGGCAUGGUGGUGCAUGCCUGUAGUCCCAGCUACUUGGGAGGCUGAGGCAGAAGAAUCACUUGAACCUGGGAGGCAGAGGUUGCAGUGAGCUGAGAUAGUGCCACUGCACUCCAGCCUGGGUGACAGAGUGAGACUCUGUCUCAA